Molecule: ribosomal RNA, 254 nt
Filed under: uncultured prokaryote
Description: partial 16S ribosomal RNA
Rfam family: Bacterial small subunit ribosomal RNA
Source: RNAcentral
UACGUAGGGGGCAAGCGUUGUCCGGAUUUAUUGGGCGUAAAGAGCUCGUAGGCGGUUUGGUAAGUCUGGUGUGAAAUCUCCACGCUCAACGUGGAGGGGCCACCCGAUACUGCCAUGACUGGAGUCCGGUAGAGGAGUGUGGAAUUCCCGGUGUAGCGGUGAAAUGCGCAGAUAUCGGGAGGAACACCCGUAGCGAAGGCGGCACUCUGGGCCGGAACUGACGCUGAGACACGAAAGCGUGGGUAGCAAACAGG